Lactuca sativa (garden lettuce) is the source of this 107-nucleotide small nucleolar RNA. Lineage: Eukaryota; Viridiplantae; Streptophyta; Magnoliopsida; Asterales; Asteraceae. The record is from RefSeq and is a predicted model, not a curated record.
AGGUCAUGUUUAGGACAAUUCCUUAACAACCCUUUGUAACGUUCCCAAGCUUCGUAAAGUGACUCCCCCGGGUUUUGCUCAAAACUGGCUAUUACCUUUUUGAGUUU